RNAcentral lists this long non-coding RNA (1124 nucleotides) under Lepidothrix coronata (blue-crowned manakin). Its description in RNAcentral is "lncRNA (ENSLCOG00000002595.1)". The record is from RNAcentral. Lineage: Eukaryota; Metazoa; Chordata; Aves; Passeriformes; Pipridae.
CCAGACCAGUGGACAUGUUUGAGACAGGUGGUCUGAGGCCCAGCACACUCUCAGUCCUGCCAUGAAGCAGAUUCCAGAAGUGUGAUGUCAGAGAAGGACAGGGCUGGGAGCACAACCACCAGCCACAGAAACACGCUGGUUCUUCAGCAGCAAGGAUCAUGAGAUGCAAGUCCAGACUGCUUCUCCUGCUCUUCCAAGAAACUGUGAACUCUCUCAUGCCCAGGAAGUGCAACAAACCUUAGACUGCAGAAACAAAAAUUCUUAUUGAACAUUUGGGAAAUGUUCUGAACAACACUGUCCAUCUCCUGCAGCAAAAUGUUGCAGCAGAGAGAGACAGCGAUGCUGAAAACGAGUGGCAGAGGAAUAUUGAAAAAUACAUGUGGCUGUAGAACCCAAUAUGACUGUUUCUCUGUCUGAGGGAGCUGAACACAGGAGCACACUGGGAAAAGCACUACAAAGUGCUGGAUGUGCUGGCAUUUCUGAAUACUGAGUAGCAGCAAGAGCAGGGCAUACACAGCAAGAGGAAAACAAAUGUAUCGUCUGAAAUAACUAAGCCAAGUUAUGCAUUCAGUGCUUUUAGGUAACUGCUGGACAUGAGUAAAGAGCAAUAUUAUCCUUGUGCCUGAAACCAGUCCAAGUCUUUGGUUUUCAGAUCCUUCCUCAUGGAGUUCUCAAAAGAACUUCAAAAGAAAAACAUCUUUGUGGUGAACGACAGAAGAUGCUGGGCUGAACAGAGCAACUUUUUCCAGUAGCUGAGGACAAGGAAAGGACUCAGACAAUCAUGACUUACACUGGAAUUAACCAGGACAAAGCAAUAAUGCUUUGCUGGUGACUGGAUUUGUAUACCCUUUUAAAAGGUUAACUUACUUCACUAUGAUUCAGCCGAGUAGCAAACUCAUUUUAAAAGUAACUCUAUACGUUGCUUAAACUUGAUUUCUUGGCCCCAGGUUUCCCACCUCAGUAGUUCAACUCCACCAGCGGGAGCAGCACCGGCAGAGUCAGCACGGAUGAGGCCCCUAGGAUGGUGAUACCUUCACCAAACUACCACUUCCACCCACAGGGAACAGGACAAGGCACCUCCAUUGCCACAUCUGCCCGGACCCCCCUCAGCCGGCGCACCCUGC